RNAcentral lists this transfer RNA (76 nucleotides) under Tenericutes bacterium GWA2_38_26. RNAcentral describes it as "tRNA-Ala". It matches the Rfam family "tRNA". From Rfam's summary of the family: Transfer RNA (tRNA) molecules are approximately 80 nucleotides in length. Their secondary structure includes four short double-helical elements and three loops (D, anti-codon, and T loops). Further hydrogen bonds mediate the characteristic L-shaped molecular structure. tRNAs have two regions of fundamental functional importance: the anti-codon, which is responsible for specific mRNA codon recognition, and the 3' end, to which the tRNAs corresponding amino acid is attached (by aminoacyl-tRNA synthetases). tRNAs cope with the degeneracy of the genetic code in two manners: having more than one tRNA (with a specific anti-codon) for a particular amino acid; and 'wobble' base-pairing, i.e. permitting non-standard base-pairing at the 3rd anti-codon position. RNAcentral also lists the same sequence under 1 other name. The record is from RNAcentral. Lineage: Bacteria; Bacillati; Mycoplasmatota.
GGGGCUUUAGCUCAGCUGGGAGAGCGCCUGCUUUGCACGCAGGAGGUCAGGGGUUCGAUCCCCCUAAGCUCCACCA